This 74-nucleotide transfer RNA is filed under the name Anaerolineae bacterium. Its description in RNAcentral is "tRNA-His". It matches the Rfam family "tRNA". From Rfam's summary of the family: Transfer RNA (tRNA) molecules are approximately 80 nucleotides in length. Their secondary structure includes four short double-helical elements and three loops (D, anti-codon, and T loops). The record is from RNAcentral. Lineage: Bacteria; Bacillati; Chloroflexota; Anaerolineae.
GUGUCGGUACGCCAACGGUAAGCGGAGAGGUUGUGGCCCUCUUGAUCCCGGUUCGAGUCCGGGCCGACACCCCA